Molecule: long non-coding RNA, 1051 nt
Organism: Anopheles funestus (African malaria mosquito)
Lineage: Eukaryota; Metazoa; Arthropoda; Insecta; Diptera; Culicidae
Exons: 2
Source: RefSeq, a predicted model, not a curated record
CGCGAAGCGUUGUAAUAAAAGUUUAGUUUUAAAGUAUAUCACGUCAACCUCCAGUGUUAUUUUGUGGUCGUAAAUAGUUACAUUUAAAACAUAUCACACAACCACAGAUGAUGAUUUCGGUCAAAGUAGAUGUUUUUGGUCAAAGUUGGUGGAAACUGGAAGUUUGCAACCAAAGAUGAUGAUCUCGGUCAGAGUUGAUGUUUUUGGUCAAAGUUGGUGGAAACUGGAAGUUUGCGACCAAAGUUGAUGUUUUCGGUCAAAGUAGAUGUUUUUGGUCAAAGUUGGUGGAAACUGGAAGUUUGCAACCAAAGAUGAUGUUUUCGGUCAAAGUAGAUGUUUUUGGUCAAAGUUGGUGGAAACCGGAAGUUUGCAACCAAAGAUGAUGAUUUCGGUCAAAGUAGAUGUUUUUGGUCAAAGUUGGUGGAAACUGGAUGUUUGCGACCAAAGAUGAUGUUUUCAGUCAAAGUAGAUGCUUUUGGUCAAAGUUGGUGGAAACUGGAAGUUUGCAACCAAAGAUGAUGAUUUCGGUCAAAGUAGAUGUUUUUGGUCAAAGUUGGUGGAAACUGGAAGUUUGCGACCAAAGAUGAUGUUUUCGGUCAAAGUAGAUGUUUUUGGUCAAAGUUGGUGGAAACUGGAAGUUUGCAAAGAAAGAUGAUGUUUUCGGUCAAAGUAGAUGUUUUUGGUCAAAGUUGGUGGAAACUGGAAGUUUGCGACCAAAGUUGAUGAUUUCGGUCAAAGUAGAUGUUUUUGGUCAAAGUUGGUGGAAACUGGAAGUUUGCAACCAAAGAUGAUGAUUUCGGUCAAAGUUGAUGUUUUUGGUCAAAGUUGGUGGAAACUGGAAGUUUGCAACCAAAGAUGAUGAUUUCGGUCGAAGUUGAUGUUUUUGGUCAAAAUUGGUGGAAACUGGAAGUUUGCAACCAAAGAUGAUGAUUUCGGUCAAAGUAGAUGUUUUUGGUCAAAGUUGGUGGAAACUGGAAGUUUGCAAAAAAAGAUGAUGAUUUCGGUCAAAGUUGAUGUUUUUGGUCAAAGUUGGUGGAAACUGGAAGUUUGC